GGCGCAUUGGUGAAGCGGUUUAACACACUCGGCUUUCUACCGAGGAUGCGUGGGUUCGAAACCCACAUGCGCUAU
This 75-nucleotide transfer RNA is filed under the name Bacillus phage PK16. Its description in RNAcentral is "tRNA-Glu". It matches the Rfam family "tRNA". Rfam says of the family: Transfer RNA (tRNA) molecules are approximately 80 nucleotides in length. Lineage: Duplodnaviria; Heunggongvirae; Uroviricota; Caudoviricetes; Herelleviridae. The record is from RNAcentral.